GAGGUAUUAGUAAAAAUUACAUAACUUCGUCAAAGUUAAGUUACAGGUGAAAACCCUGUCUACCUCC
Non-coding RNA from Hippopotamus amphibius kiboko, 67 nucleotides. The record is from the annotation of a RefSeq genome assembly. NCBI's taxonomy places the organism in Eukaryota, Metazoa, Chordata, Mammalia, Artiodactyla, Hippopotamidae.